This 425-nucleotide ribosomal RNA is filed under the name uncultured bacterium. RNAcentral describes it as "partial 16S ribosomal RNA". It matches the Rfam family "Bacterial small subunit ribosomal RNA", at positions 354 to 796 of the family's 1533-position model. The record is from RNAcentral.
GUGGGGAAUAUUGCACAAUGGGGGAAACCCUGAUGCAGCGACGCCGCGUGAGUGAAGAAGUAUUUCGGUACGUAAAGCUCUAUCAGCAAGGAAGAAAAUGACGGUACUUGACUAAGAAGCCCCGGCUAACUACGUGCCAGCAGCCGCGGUAAUACGUAGGGGGCAAGCGUUAUCCGGAUUUACUGGGUGUAAAGGGAGCGUAGACGGUAUGGUAAGUCAGAUGUGAAAGCCCGGGGCUCAACCCCGGGACUGCAUUUGAAACUAUCAGACUAGAGUGCAGGAGAGGUAAGUGGAAUUCCUAGUGUAGCGGUGAAAUGCGUAGAUAUUAGGAGGAACACCAGUGGCGAAGGCGGCUUACUGGACUGUAACUGACGUUGAGGCUCGAAAGCGUGGGGAGCAAACAGGAUUAGAAACCCCUGUAGUCC